This 1476-nucleotide ribosomal RNA is filed under the name uncultured prokaryote. Its description in RNAcentral is "partial 16S ribosomal RNA". It matches the Rfam family "Bacterial small subunit ribosomal RNA". The record is from RNAcentral.
GCCCUUUGAGUUUGAUCCUGGCUCAGAAUGAACGCUGGCGGCAUGGAUUAGGCAUGCAAGUCGAACGGUAACAGAGAAGCUUGCUUCUGCUGACGAGUGGCGAAAGGGUGAGUAACGCGUGAGCAACUUGCCUCGAGGUCGGGGAUAGCCCCGCGAAAGCGGGAUUAAUACCGAAUACGGCAGUCUUGCGUAAGUAAGAACUGCCAAAGCUGUCUUCGGAUGGCGCCUCGAGAUGGGCUCGCGUCCUAUUAGCUAGUUGGUGGGGUAAUGGCCCACCAAGGCGACGACAGGUAGGUGGUCUGAGAGGAUGGUCACCCACACUGGGACUGAGACACUGCCCAGACUCCUACGGGAGGCUGCAGUCGAGAAUCUUCCGCAAUGCGCGAAAGCGUGACGGAGCAAUGCCGCGUGAGGGAUGAAGGCUUUCGGGUCGUAAACCUCUGUCACCCGGAAAGAAGAUCUGACGGUACCGGGAGAGGAAGUCACGGCUAACUACGUGCCAGCAGCCGCGGUAAUACGUAGGUGGCGAGCGUUAUUCGGAUUUAUUGGGCGUAAAGGGUCCGUAGGGGGCUCGUUAAGAUAGGCGUGAAUCCCCGAGCUCAACUUGGGAACUGCAUUUGUGACUGGUAGACUAGAGUAUAGCAGAGGGGGGUAGAAUUCCACGUGUAGCAGUGAAAUGCGUAGAUAUGUGGAGGAAUACCGAUGGCGAAGGCAGCCCCCUGGGUUAAUACUGACGCUCAUGUACGAAAGCGUGGGUAGCGAACAGGAUUAGAUACCCUGGUAGUCCACGCCCUAAACGAUGUCAACUAGGUGUUGGGGAAGGAGACUUCUUUAGUACCGUAGCUAACGCGUGAAGUUGACCGCCUGGGGAGUACGGUCGCAAGAUUAAAACUCAAAGGAAUUGACGGGGACCCGCACAAGCGGUGGAUUAUGUGGAUUAAUUCGAUGCAACGCGAAAAACCUUACCUACCCUUGACAUGCAUGCCAAGAACUUUCCAGAGAUGGAUCGGUGCCUUCGGGAACUUGGACACAGGUGCUGCAUGGCUGUCGUCAGCUCGUGUCGUGAGAUGUUGGGUUAAGUCCCGCAACGAGCGCAACCCUUGUCAUUAAUUGCCAUCAUUUAGUUGGGCACUUUAAUGAGACUGCCGGUGACAAACCGAGGAAGGUGAGGACGACGUCAAGUCAUCAUGGCCCUUAUGGCCAGGGCAACACACGUGCUACAAUGGUAUAGAUAGUGAGAUGCAAUACUGCGAGGUGGAGCAAAUCUAUAAACUAUAUCCCAGUUCGGAUUGUUCUCUGCAACUCGAGAACAUGAAGUGUGGAAUCGCUAGUAAUCGCAAAUCAGCUAUGUUGCGGUGAAUACGUUCCCGGGUCUUGUACUCACCGCCCGUCACACCAUGGGAGUUGAAUUCACCUUAAGCCGGGAAGCUAAGAUAGCUACCGUCCACGGUGGAUUUAGUGACUGGGGUGAAGUCG